AUAUCAAUAAGCGGAGGAAAAGAAACCAACAGGGAUUGCCUCAGUAACGGCGAGUGAAGCGGCAACAGCUCAAAUUUGAAAUCUGGCCGUAAGGUCCGAGUUGUAAUUUGUAGAGGAUGUUUUGGGCACCGCUGUGGGUUAAAUUUCUUGGAACAGAAUGUCAAAGAGGGUGAGAGUCCCGUCUUGGCCCGCGGUAGGACCUAUGUAAAACUCCUUCGACGAGUCGACUUGUUUGGGAAUGCAGGUCAAAAUGGGUGGUAAAUUUCAUCUAAAGCUAAAUAUUGGCCAGAGACCGAUAGCGCACAAGUA
RNAcentral lists this ribosomal RNA (309 nucleotides) under uncultured Phialophora. Its description in RNAcentral is "partial large subunit ribosomal RNA". It matches the Rfam family "Eukaryotic large subunit ribosomal RNA", at positions 40 to 350 of the family's 3401-position model. The record is from RNAcentral. Lineage: Eukaryota; Fungi; Ascomycota; Leotiomycetes.